UGGUGGAGCGAUUUGUCUGGUUAAUUCCGUUAACGAACGAGACCUCGACCUACUAAAUAGUUUGACGUAGCUUAGGCUAUGUACAAGCUUCUUAGAGGGACUGUCGGUGUGUAGCCGAAGGAAGUUCGAGGCAAUAACA
Molecule: ribosomal RNA, 139 nt
Filed under: uncultured eukaryote
Lineage: Eukaryota
Description: partial 18S ribosomal RNA
Rfam family: Eukaryotic small subunit ribosomal RNA
Source: RNAcentral